This 253-nucleotide ribosomal RNA is filed under the name uncultured bacterium. RNAcentral describes it as "partial 16S ribosomal RNA". It matches the Rfam family "Bacterial small subunit ribosomal RNA", at positions 524 to 776 of the family's 1533-position model. The record is from RNAcentral.
UACAGAGGUCUCAAGCGUUGUUCGGAUUCAUUGGGCGUAAAGGGUGCGUAGGCGGCGAGGCAAGUCAGGUGUGAAAUCUCGGGGCUCAACUCCGAAACUGCACUUGAUACUGCCUUGCUAGAGUACUGGAGGGGAGAUUGGAAUUUACGGUGUAGCAGUGAAAUGCGUAGAUAUCGUAAGGAAGACCAGUGGCGAAGGCGAAUCUCUGGACAGUUACUGACGCUGAGGCACGAAGGCCAGGGGAGCAAACGGG